RNAcentral lists this transfer RNA (73 nucleotides) under Candidatus Daviesbacteria bacterium RIFCSPHIGHO2_01_FULL_38_8. Its description in RNAcentral is "tRNA-Trp". It matches the Rfam family "tRNA". From Rfam's summary of the family: Transfer RNA (tRNA) molecules are approximately 80 nucleotides in length. Their secondary structure includes four short double-helical elements and three loops (D, anti-codon, and T loops). The record is from RNAcentral. Lineage: Bacteria; Candidatus Daviesiibacteriota.
ACGGGUGUGGCGCAAUUGGUAGCGCAGCUGUCUCCAAAACAGCCGGUUCCAGGUUCAAGUCCUGGCACCCGUG